GUGCCAGCCGCCGCGGUAAUACGUAGGGGCCGAGCGUUGUCCGGAGUUACUGGGCGUAAAGCGCGCGCAGGCGGCUCGCUUUGCCCGGCGUGAAAGCCCCCGGCUCAACCGGGGAGGGUCGUCGGGGACGGGCGGGCUUGAGGUCGGCAGGGGCAGGUGGAAUUCCCGGUGUAGUGGUGAAAUGCGUAGAGAUCGGGAGGAACACCCGUGGCGAAGGCGGCCUGCUGGGCCGGACCUGACGCUGAGGCGCGAAGGCGUGGGGAGCGAACGGGAUUAGAAACCCUCGUAGUCC
RNAcentral lists this ribosomal RNA (292 nucleotides) under uncultured bacterium. RNAcentral describes it as "partial 16S ribosomal RNA". It matches the Rfam family "Bacterial small subunit ribosomal RNA", at positions 505 to 796 of the family's 1533-position model. The record is from RNAcentral.